RNAcentral lists this ribosomal RNA (447 nucleotides) under uncultured bacterium. RNAcentral describes it as "bacterial SSU rRNA". It matches the Rfam family "Bacterial small subunit ribosomal RNA", at positions 330 to 798 of the family's 1533-position model. The record is from RNAcentral.
GCCAGACUCCUACGGGAGGCAGCAGUGGGGAAUAUUGCACAAUGGGGGAAACCCUGAUGCAGCGACGCCGCGUGAGUGAAGAAGUAUUUCGGUAUGUAAAGCUCUAUCAGCAGGGAAGAAAAUGACGGUACCUGAUUAAGAAGCCCCGGCUAACUACGUGCCAGCAGCCGCGGUAAUACGUAGGGGGCAAGCGUUAUCCGGAUUUACUGGGUGUAAAGGGUGCGCGGGCGGCCUGUUAAGUCAGCGGUAAAAGCCGGGGGCUCAAUCCCGGCGAGCCGUUGAAACUGGCGGGCUGGAGUUGGAGAGAAGUACGCGGAAUGCGCGGUGUAGCGGUGAAAUGCUUAGAUAUCGCGCUGAACCCCGAUUGCGAAGGCAGCGUACCGGCUCCACACUGACGCUGAGGCACGAAAGCGUGGGUAUCGAACAGGAUUAGAUACCCUAGUCCCC